RNAcentral lists this ribosomal RNA (254 nucleotides) under uncultured bacterium. RNAcentral describes it as "partial 16S ribosomal RNA". It matches the Rfam family "Bacterial small subunit ribosomal RNA", at positions 524 to 776 of the family's 1533-position model. The record is from RNAcentral.
UACGUAGGGGGCAAGCGUUGUCCGGAUUUAUUGGGCGUAAAGAGCGUGUAGGCGGUUAGGUAGGUCCGUUGUGAAAACUCGAGGCUCAACCUCGAGACGCCGAUGGAAACCAUCUAACUAGAGUCCGGAAGAGGACGAGUGGAAUUCCUGGUGUAGCGGUGAAAUGCGCAGAUAUCAGGAGGAACACCAAUAGCGAAGGCAGCUCGCUGGGACGUUACUGACACUGAGGCGCGAAAGCGUGGGGAGCGAACAGG